Molecule: ribosomal RNA, 253 nt
Filed under: uncultured bacterium
Lineage: Bacteria
Description: partial 16S ribosomal RNA
Rfam family: Bacterial small subunit ribosomal RNA
Source: RNAcentral
UACGAAGGGGGCUAGCGUUGUUCGGAUUUACUGGGCGUAAAGCGCACGUAGGCGGAUCGAUCAGUCAGGGGUGAAAUCCCAGAGCUCAACUCUGGAACUGCCUUUGAUACUGUCGAUCUGGAGUAUGGAAGAGGUGAGUGGAAUUCCGAGUGUAGAGGUGAAAUUCGUAGAUAUUCGGAGGAACACCAGUGGCGAAGGCGGCUCACUGGUCCGAUACUGACGCUGAGGCACGAAAGCGUGGGGAGCAAACAGG